GUGCCAGCCGCCGCGGUAAGACAGAGGGGGCAAGCGUUGCUCGGAAUCACUGGGCGUAAAGGGCGCGUAGGCGGGAUGGCAAGUCGGUCGUGAAAUCCCUCGGCUCAACUGAGGAGAGUCGGCCGAUACUGCUGUUCUUGAGGGAUGCAGAGGAGACUGGAAUUCCCGGUGUAGCGGUGAAAUGUGUAGAGAUCGGGAGGAACACCGGUGGCGAAGGCGGGUCUCUGGGCAUCUCCUGACGCUGAGGCGCGAAAGCGUGGGGAGCAAACGGGAUUAGAUACCCCCGUAGUCC
This 292-nucleotide ribosomal RNA is filed under the name uncultured bacterium. RNAcentral's name for it is "partial 16S ribosomal RNA". It matches the Rfam family "Bacterial small subunit ribosomal RNA", at positions 505 to 796 of the family's 1533-position model. The record is from RNAcentral.